GACGAACCGUGCGAACGUUGUUCGGAAUCACUGGGCUUAAAGGGCGCGUAGGCGGGCGAUCAAGUCCGGGGUGAAAUCCUCCAGCUUAACUGGAGAACUGCCUCGGAUACUGAUUGUCUCGAGGGGGAUAGGGGCAUGCGGAACUACGGGUGGAGCGGUGAAAUGCGUUGAUAUCAACUGGAACUCCGGUGGCGAAGGCGGCACGCUGGACCUUUUCUGACGCUGAGGCGCGAAAGCCAGGGGAGCAAACGGG
Molecule: ribosomal RNA, 253 nt
Filed under: uncultured bacterium
Lineage: Bacteria
Description: partial 16S ribosomal RNA
Rfam family: Bacterial small subunit ribosomal RNA
Source: RNAcentral